This 21-nucleotide small nuclear RNA is filed under the name Arabidopsis thaliana (thale cress). RNAcentral's name for it is "snRNA_15247". Lineage: Eukaryota; Viridiplantae; Streptophyta; Magnoliopsida; Brassicales; Brassicaceae. The record is from RNAcentral.
AAAAAUCUUAUUUAAUCCCAC